This 1159-nucleotide long non-coding RNA is filed under the name Homo sapiens (human). Its description in RNAcentral is "HSALNT0380230". The record is from RNAcentral. Lineage: Eukaryota; Metazoa; Chordata; Mammalia; Primates; Hominidae.
CUGAUGCAUCGCAGUGUCCACAUAUGCAGGGAGGCUGGUUUCCUAGGAAGCCUCCCAAUGAGGAAAUUGUUGGGAAUGUGCUGCAAGGCGCUGCCUCGCUCUGGAGCCAGACGAGAGGCCGGAGCAUCCGCCCCAACAUGGCUGGCUGUGUGAGCCUCAGGAACGCUGGCAGCUCUGCAAGACUCUCUGCCAUCUGCAAAAUGUGGAGGAGGAAAAUGAGCUGCAGAAGGAUCAAAUGACCUGCCUGAGGUGCCCUAUCUGUUGGCACAGGCCAGAGCACAUGGUGGAUGCAGGGGCACCCCCUUCCCUUCUCCUCCCCUCCGGCUCUUUGCUGACAGGAUUCUCUCUUGCCUUCUCUGAUGGUACCUGUGCUACGUGCCACAUCCUUUCCCUCAAUGAAUUUCAGGCAGUGGAAGGGGCCGCAGAAGUUCCUUGACUCAUGAGGCGAGGCAUUCAGCGGCCUCGUGACACCUCCCAGGAUCUGCAGUCAUUGGGCUGCACUUGCCAAUAGCAACACCUGGCAAAAAUAGCUAAGAAGCAGAGCGGCCUGGGCUCAGGAGCUGAGCAACCCCUGACUGGCCAGAUGGAGACUGUGUUGAGCUCUGCCCAAGCCCUGUGAUCCUGGAAAACAGUGAAGUUAAGGAGCCAUCUGCAUUCUAGGGAAUGGCCCACUGCAAAAAAUAGCCUUCCUUAUAGGACGUAGAGGACUCAUGAUGUCCCCUCAUUUAUGAUGAGCCAACACACAGCCCUUCCAAAUUCCGAUUCUUUGCUUCAUAACUGAUGAGCUGUUUUGUUCCCACUGGUCAAUCGGAACAACAUUCUUGCUAACCAGAUUUUGGUUCAGCUCUUCUCCCUCCCCAUGUACCUGCCCUGUGUCCUGUCCUCAUCCUGAGCCAGCACACACCCCUCCUUAGUAGCUCCUCCUGCAGCAGGCUGACCUCGGACUCUCCCUGAUCCAUUGUCCAAAUAUAUCACCCUUUCACCCUACAUCCUCACACCCCAUUCUUUCUAGUUUUGUUCAUUCCUCCCUGUGAAAGAUGAACCCUCUUUGCCUAACCCCGGACCUGCUUGCAGACUGCUAUGAUGGCCAGAGUGUCCCCCCUACUGCAAGAGUCCCUUCUGUCCCUUGCAACAUCUUUUAAAUAAAAUCUCUCUUUAC